Molecule: unclassified non-coding RNA, 294 nt
Filed under: Hevea brasiliensis (rubber tree)
Lineage: Eukaryota; Viridiplantae; Streptophyta; Magnoliopsida; Malpighiales; Euphorbiaceae
Source: RNAcentral
AGAACACAUAUUUAUACAUUUUGGUACAAAGGGAAUUGGAUACAUGAAGUUUUGUUCACAAAUAACAUUUGAAAUGAUGGAAGAAUGUCUCCCCGAAAAUGAUACAUAAAAAAAAAAUUAAGAACAAGCUUGUGAUCAACUCUCCAGGCAUCUAUUUGAUAAAAGAUGUUACAUCAAUCUAGAUGGUCUAAGCAAUAGCCUUGAUUCUUUAUGGUUUUAUGAAGAAUUGCCAGGGUCAAUAGGGCUGAUGAUGGAAUUUGUUUUGUGCAGAUGAUGCAAGGCUGGUGUAUUCUG